Pygocentrus nattereri (red-bellied piranha) is the source of this 341-nucleotide long non-coding RNA. RefSeq lists it as uncharacterized. The transcript has 3 exons. NCBI's taxonomy places the organism in Eukaryota, Metazoa, Chordata, Actinopteri, Characiformes, Serrasalmidae. The record is from RefSeq and is a predicted model, not a curated record.
AAAGUUGCUGAGGAGUGAAUAUCCUGUGGCACUAGUUUUGACCAGGACUUACCAACACCCCUACUGUGGAGAGACCAGGGUGGGCAAUUUUGCUCCGGUGAAUCUCCGAGGUCUCGAAAAUGAGUUACCAAAAAAUAUACAUUUUUACUCUAAACAAGACGCUGCUUCUCCAUUUUACUUUCAAUUUUCAUUCCACUGAAUUGAUCUAGUGUGGAAGGAAGGCUGCUCUGUUUGUGUUUCACCAGCAACUGCUCCAAGCACUUUGUGCUGACAGGAGUUAGCACUUUGAAUGUGUGGUGGAGAGCGUUCUGGGAUCCAGCAUUGUCAUGUGGCAUGGAAGC